Molecule: long non-coding RNA, 281 nt
Organism: Sander lucioperca (pikeperch)
Lineage: Eukaryota; Metazoa; Chordata; Actinopteri; Perciformes; Percidae
Exons: 3
Source: RefSeq, a predicted model, not a curated record
AAUGUUUUUGUCCCUUUUUUCGAUGUUUUCGAUGCCAUUUUGCACCAACACCAACUUAUUCCACUAGUUUUACACUUAUUUUUGGAAUUCAUGGUCAAUAAAUCUCACUUAUAAGAAAUUAUACCUAAAUUUGAAAUGAUGAAUGAUUUUGACUAAUAUUAGAGGGACGUAUGUUGAUGGAUAAUCACAGAUGUGUAUCUCAAAGUUUAGACAGGUUUUAAGUCCAUUUACAUUUUUUCAAAUUAUACAAAAUUGAAUACCCAAAAUUCAAUGAAAGAAAU